AAUAUUGGUCAAUGGGGGCAACCCUGAACCAGCCAAGUCGCGUGAAGGAUGAAGGUCUUAUGGAUUGUAAACUUCUUUUAUACGGGAAUAACUUGCGGGACGUGUCCCGCAUUGCAUGUACCGUAUGAAUAAGGAUCGGCUAACUCCGUGCCAGCAGCCGCGGUAAUACGGAGGAUCCGAGCGUUAUCCGGAUUUAUUGGGUUUAAAGGGUGCGCAGGCGGGAUGUUAAGUCGGCGGUGAAAUUUUGCAGCUCAACUGUAAAAGUGCCUUCGAUACUGGCUUCCUUGAGUGUGGAUGAAGUAGGCGGAAUUUGUGGUGUAGCGGUGAAAUGCUUAGAUAUCACGAGGAACUCCGAUUGCGCAGGCAGCUUACUAAACCACUACUGACGCUCAUGCACGAAGGCGUGGGGAUCAAACAGG
RNAcentral lists this ribosomal RNA (419 nucleotides) under uncultured bacterium. RNAcentral's name for it is "partial 16S ribosomal RNA". It matches the Rfam family "Bacterial small subunit ribosomal RNA", at positions 360 to 776 of the family's 1533-position model. The record is from RNAcentral.